UAUUGCCCAAUGGGGGAAACCCUGAUGCAGCGACGCCGCGUGAGUGAAGAAGUAUUUCGGUAUGUAAAGCUCUAUCAGCUGGGAAGAAAAUGACGGUACCUGAUUAAGAAUCCCCGGCUAACUACGUGCCAGCAGCCGCGGUAAUACGUAGGGGGCAAGCGUUAUCCGGAUUUACUGGGUGUAAAGGGAGCGUAGGCGGCAGCACAAGUCUGGAGUGAAAGGCCGGGGCUUAACCCCGGAACUGCUUUGGAAACUGUGCGGCUAGAGUGCAGGAGAGGUAAGUGGAAUUCCUAGUGUAGCGGUGAAAUGCGUAGAUAUUAGGAGGAACACCAGUGGCGAAGGCGGCUUACUGGACUGUAACUGACGUUGAGGCUCGAAAGCGUGGGUAGCAAACAGG
Molecule: ribosomal RNA, 397 nt
Filed under: uncultured bacterium
Lineage: Bacteria
Description: bacterial SSU rRNA
Rfam family: Bacterial small subunit ribosomal RNA
Source: RNAcentral